This 64-nucleotide transfer RNA is filed under the name Tenebrionoidea sp. 11 KM-2017. RNAcentral's name for it is "tRNA-Asn". The record is from RNAcentral. Lineage: Eukaryota; Metazoa; Arthropoda; Insecta; Coleoptera.
UUAAUUGAAACCAAAAAGAGGUAUGUCACUGUUAAUGACAACAUUGAACGAAGUUCCAAUUAAA